GGGGAUGCGUGCAUUUAUCAGACCCAAAACCNCAGGGGUCUCGGCCCCCGGCCGCUUUUGGUGACUCUAAUAACCUCGGCCGAUGCGCCUCCGCGGCGGCGACGUCUCAUUCGAA
Molecule: ribosomal RNA, 115 nt
Filed under: Trachelyopterus (Parauchenipterus) sp.
Lineage: Eukaryota; Metazoa; Chordata; Actinopteri; Siluriformes; Auchenipteridae
Description: partial 18S ribosomal RNA
Source: RNAcentral